AUUGAACGCUGGCGGCAGGCCUAAUACAUGCAAGUCGAACGAGUGGCGGACGGGUGAGGAAUGUCUGGGAAACUGCCCGAUGGAGGGGGAUAACUACUGGAAACGGUAGCUACUACCGCCUACCAUCGGAUGUGCCCAGAUGGGAUUAGCUAGUAGGUGGGGUAACGGCUCACCUAGUCGACGAUCCCUAGCUGGUCUGAGAGGAUGACCAGCCACACUGGAACUGAGACACGGUCCAGACUCCUACGGGAGGCAGCAGUGGGGAAUAGUGCACAAUGGGCGCAAGCCUGAGUCAGCCAGGCCGCGUGUAUGAAGAAGGCCUUCGGGUUGUAAAGUACUUUCAUCGAGGAGGCGUUACUCGCAGAAGAAGCACCGGCUAACUCCGUGCCAGCAGCCGCGGUAAUUC
RNAcentral lists this ribosomal RNA (406 nucleotides) under uncultured bacterium. Its description in RNAcentral is "partial 16S ribosomal RNA". It matches the Rfam family "Bacterial small subunit ribosomal RNA", at positions 30 to 526 of the family's 1533-position model. The record is from RNAcentral.